UACGAAGGGGGCGAGCGUUGUUCGGAAUCACUGGGCUUAAAGCGUAUGUAGGCGGAUUGGAAAGUCAGAAGUGAAAGCCCAGGGCUCAACCUUGGAACUGCUUUUGAAACUUCCAGUCUAGAGUCCCGGAGAGGUUGGCGGAAUUCCGAGUGUAGAGGUGAAAUUCGCAGAUAUUCGGAGGAACACCAGUGGCGUAGGCGGCCAACUGGACGGGAACUGACGCUGAGAUACGAAAGCGUGGGGAGCAAAC
Molecule: ribosomal RNA, 250 nt
Filed under: uncultured bacterium
Lineage: Bacteria
Description: partial 16S ribosomal RNA
Rfam family: Bacterial small subunit ribosomal RNA
Source: RNAcentral